Molecule: ribosomal RNA, 254 nt
Filed under: uncultured prokaryote
Description: partial 16S ribosomal RNA
Rfam family: Bacterial small subunit ribosomal RNA
Source: RNAcentral
GACGUAGGGUGCAAGCGUUAUCCGGAUUCAUUGGGCGUAAAGUGUUGCGUAGGCUGAUUUGCGCAUUUCACUUAAAAGCCCGUGGCUCAACCACGGUUUUGGGUGAAAUAUGGCAAAUCUAGUAGGAUAGAGAGGGUACUGGAACUCAACAUGUAGCAGUGAAAUGCGUUGAUAUGUUGAGGAACACCAAAGGCGUAGGCAGGUACCUGGCUAUUUCUAGACGCUGAGGCACGAAAGCUUGGGGAGCGAAGCAG